AAGUUGGAAUUGCCGAGGAAUGGG
This 24-nucleotide small RNA is filed under the name Brassica napus (rape). RNAcentral describes it as "PsRNA_69". Lineage: Eukaryota; Viridiplantae; Streptophyta; Magnoliopsida; Brassicales; Brassicaceae. The record is from RNAcentral.